RNAcentral lists this ribosomal RNA (254 nucleotides) under uncultured bacterium. RNAcentral's name for it is "partial 16S ribosomal RNA". It matches the Rfam family "Bacterial small subunit ribosomal RNA", at positions 524 to 776 of the family's 1533-position model. The record is from RNAcentral.
UACGUAGGGUGCAAGCGUUGUCCGGAAUUAUUGGGCGUAAAGAGCUCGUAGGUGGCCUGUCGCGUCGGGCUGUGAAAACUCGGGGCUCAACUCCGAGCUUGCAGUCGAUACGGGCAGGCUAGAGUUCGGCAGGGGAGACUGGAAUUCCUGGUGUAGCGGUGAAAUGCGCAGAUAUCAGGAGGAACACCGGUGGCGAAGGCGGGUCUCUGGGCCGAUACUGACACUGAGGAGCGAAAGCGUGGGGAGCGAACAGG